GUCUCUGUGGUGCAAUAGGUCUAGUGUGUUUGGCUGUUGGCCAAAAGGUUGGUGAUUCGAGCCCACCUAGAGACA
Albula glossodonta (roundjaw bonefish) is the source of this 75-nucleotide non-coding RNA. The record is from the annotation of a GenBank genome assembly. NCBI's taxonomy places the organism in Eukaryota, Metazoa, Chordata, Actinopteri, Albuliformes, Albulidae.